AACAAGUAUGACGACGGUGGUUGAGAAUAAUAUUUGUUUAGAUAUAAAGAGGCUAUGGACUAGGAUUAUACCACAUGAUUAUGAUAAUGAGUAUGUGAAGUGUGUUAAAAAUGAUUAUUAUUUAAGUGAACUGAGAUCAAAAAAUUAAUUAUGUGUGUGAUUGACCAAAUGUUAGAAUUGUAGUGGAAGUAAAACAAUUAAUUGGGUUUAUUGAAUAAUCAUUAAUGUGGACAUACUCCACAUGUUCGGUUCACAAAUGGACAACAAUAUGUCCACACUCAAGGACACGUAAGGUUGUAGACAAGAUGAAUAUUAAGGGGAUUCCAUAUGUUUGGCACGUGUAAAGGCAAUUAGCCAUUUUACUUGUCUCACUGUAUAAUGCUAUCUAAAGGCAUAUUUUUGCAACAAACAGCCAUUUCCUCUUAGCUACAUCAACGAGCAGUUCAUGAUAGUAGCAACAUAAUUAUUAUUUUUAGGAAGCAAAUUCUACUAUUUCUCAGGAACAAUAUCCGAGUUUCGUUCACCGCUUUGAUAUCGUUGUUUUUAUUUUAUCGCGUUAUUAAAUUUGGGCUUUCUUCGAAGGAAAGUAAAGCGGAAGAAGAUCAUUUCUUGGCAUAUAAGACCUUGGGGAGCCUGAGGCGUAGAUUGGAUAUUUACUUAAGAUUGGCCAUCUUGGAGUGCGUACGAGGUACAGACGCACAGCCUGGUGAUCCACCUGUUUAGGACACCCUUUCUGCUAUUCGGAGUGCUCCUCUCUUUCCGGAGCUUAUACUUUUGGUAUAUAUAUUUAUUAGUGCAUUUGUAUAUAUUCGUUCAUGGGUACGGCGGGGCCCUGUCCCGUCAUAUGAUUCUGUCGGUCUGUUUAGAGGUCUGUGGACAUGUUUGUGGGUUAGGGUCUUUCUGUAUGGAUGUAUGUACAUGUCGUUUGGGCGAUCCCAUACGCCGAGGCGGCCGGUCCGCAUAUGUUGUUUGGGCGAUCCUAUACGCCGAGGCGGCCGGUCCGCAUAUGUUUAUAUAUUGCUUGGUUAGCCCUGUGUGGCUUUUGUUGGUAUUUUCUGCGUGCAGGGUAUAUUGGAUAGUCCGUAAAACAAAGGAAACUUUGCCGAAAUUUUUCUGGAAAUUACCUAAAUUUGAAAUAAAGCCUUGUCGGCUUCCGCCAUAUACUAGAAUGAGUUAAUAGAAUUUGAGAUAAUAUUUGAUAGAUGGGUUCGGGUGCCCAGAUCGGGCACUAGUCACGGCCUACGGGGUUGG
This is a long non-coding RNA of Lycium barbarum (goji berry), 1251 nucleotides long. RefSeq lists it as uncharacterized. The record is from RefSeq and is a predicted model, not a curated record. The transcript has 3 exons. Lineage: Eukaryota; Viridiplantae; Streptophyta; Magnoliopsida; Solanales; Solanaceae.